Dendroctonus ponderosae (mountain pine beetle) is the source of this 46-nucleotide non-coding RNA. NCBI's taxonomy places the organism in Eukaryota, Metazoa, Arthropoda, Insecta, Coleoptera, Curculionidae. The record is from Rfam.
AAAUCGGUUCUUUUCAGAACCACAAUUUUUCCAAAUAAAUAAGGUU